GUCCAUUCUUCAUAAUGAACCAGAACUGCACGCAUGCAAAGAAAUACCUAUCUUCAAUUUCUUCUCCUGAUGGAAACAACCUGCAAGAUUCCAAAUAUUGGCUAAUCACUUAGGUCAAAAGAGGGGCAGAAUAACCUCAGCAGAAGAAGAGAGAUGUGUGCAUCAAAGGAAGAUUGUGGGUAAAGAUUGGGUGUCUGCAAGUGAAUCAAUAAGUUGAUCAAGAGUGUUAAUGCUGCUUGGAGUGCCAACCUUAUACAAUUCACCUUCUUUUCUGUGUUGCCAGCCUUCUUUGGCAGAUAGCAGCACUUUUAACCAAGUGUUUGAAAUAAUCAGCAGAAGUGACACAGCACAGAAGAAACUAUCAGAGCAGAACCCAGAAUUCGGGACAAAAUAUAAAGAGCUUGGAAGUGACUGUUGUUUCAACUCAACUUCUGAAAGAUUUGUAUUGCUGGCUCUGUGAAUCAAUAUACUCGAUAUAGCUUCAGCAGUACCUGAAGUAAUGAUUAAAUCUGUAAAAUGAUAAAGUUUGUAAAGUCAAGUCAUUCAAGAUAAAGCAAGUAACUACCAAAGACACAAAGGAAAGUUGAUAUAGUGGAAACGAAGCUUGCAAUUUUCCCAGGUGCUUACCAAAUUACUACUGCAAGCUAAUUCACAACCCCCAAGUUAAGAGUUUCAACACAGUGAACAUUAACAGCCUGCUUAUGUUCUUCCUGUACAACAGAAGUAAUGGCAGCAAUGCUGUAAUUCAAAGGAUUAGUCACAAUGGUGAAGACGCAAAGUGCAGAGGGAUAAAGAGUUACCCCCAGCUGCAAUUUUGCAAAGGUAUGUCAUAUGAUGACAUGAGGGUGGCAGAAGAUUUUGAUGGCAACCUGCAUGCAAUUUUGAUCAGUGUUUGGAAGAUUUAUUUCACCAGCAUGUCAUCCUGAAAAAAUAAUCAUCCCUACACCAUGCCUUUUGUUUCCUGAAACAGAUAUUCAAGAUACUGAAAAUGCCUUUUAUCACUUAAAAAAGGACUUUUGGGAAAAAAACAGAAAAAAGUCAAAGGAUAAUUUUUAAAUGAUCAUUUUUAUCCUUAGUCCUAGGGUAUUUUUCUCAAUGAAGAUCAUUAGCACUUUUGUAAGUUCAUCAUUUCUCCUCGUAGCAUUAAGGUCACUAUGAAUAAGGCUAUUUAUCACCAGAAUAAAGGGAAGACAGCCAAACAAUAAUCCAAAUCCAAACGGAACACAUGGGAGGGACAUACUAACAGAGAUAUUUCUUAAUAUUAGAAACCUAGCAAAAGAGGCAUCAAAUUUGUCAGCAGAACUGCAGAUAUGACUCUAUCAAUAAUCCAUGGCACUUUUGUAUUUCCCAGCUGAGGCUAUUAUACAGCUUUGGAUGACAGCCUGCUUCAACUUCAUCAUAUGAUCCACAGGGACGGAAACUCAUAACUGGCUUUCAGCAUAGAUCCUUCAUAUAAAGGGUAAUAACUGCAGCCAGUCAGCGUAGUAGGAUUAUCAGAGAGUGCAGCAAUGAACUGCAAAAUGUGGGAAAGGCAGCUUGAAGUAAAACUCACAAAGCAUCCCCAGAUAACUCCUUUGAACAUAAAGGAGAAAAGAUGGGUGUAUUGGAAAGAUACCCUAUGGAACCUUUCCAAGCAAGGUUUAACUUACUUUAUUUAAUUAAGUGCACAUCUGUCUGCAGGUAUUAAAGAAAAGAUGUUCAUCAGAAAUAAUCCUGGGUGCUGCUUCAAAUGGAAAAGCAAAGGGAAAACUAAUAAGACAGAAUUUGUUUCAGGUAGAGCCGUACCAUACUUUAUGGCUAAAUCUAUUGAUUUCAAUGGAACUGCUUGUGGAAUAAGUUACUACUUAACAUGAGUAAAGGUGGUAGAAUUGAGCCCUUCACAUUUUGUAAAGAAAAAGGAAUAAUGGAUGUGAUUUUCAAGCAUGCCUCAGUGACUUAGGAAUCUCAAUACUAUUUUCAAAAGUGAUCUCGGCUUCUAGAUGCCUACGUCACUUAGGCACUUUUGAAAGCUUUACUCAACAUCGAGUAAUUUUAUCCCCACAAUCUGAUCCCCCUUAAAAAUGAUAGAAAACCUCAUCCUGCCCUGGGAUCCAGUAGGGUGGACCUCCAGCAUCCAUGUGGGAUUCCACUAAUCAAAUGCUGCACAGGCGUCUGUACAGAUUGAAUUGCAGGAACAGGGCCAUAAUUUACGGCAGUGUUUUGUGCAUGUAUGAAUCAUGCAUAGAUACACAUAUACCAGUUUGUUAAGUUUAAAUUAAAGUUGCUAUUAUAUAUGCAUACUGCACUAGGAAUAUAAAAGAAGCAAAAUCAAACCAAUGCAUUCAAAAAUAUGGAUAUGAAUUAACGGAAGGUAGGUAAAUAUUCACAUACAUUCACAGUUUAUACAAUCUGUUCAAUGCACAUCCAGCACUGCAAAAAGUAAGUUUUGGUUUUGUUUUGUUUUUUAAUUCUUCUUCCAAAGCCCUUAAGGAAACCUGUUAAAUGGCCAGUGAGAUCAUAGAGAUAUAGAUAUUUAUUGGAUAUAUUUAUAGAAUAUAUUUAUGUUGACUACUACAGAAAAUCUUGCCAAUAUUUUAAAAAUAUAUUAUCUCCUUUUCUUUUUUGUACUGGAUAAAAUAAAAAGUAACAUAAGC
Molecule: long non-coding RNA, 2633 nt
Organism: Chelonia mydas (Green sea turtle)
Lineage: Eukaryota; Metazoa; Chordata; Testudines; Cheloniidae
Exons: 7
Source: RefSeq, a predicted model, not a curated record